Molecule: RNA transcript, 4805 nt
Organism: Podarcis raffonei (Aeolian wall lizard)
Lineage: Eukaryota; Metazoa; Chordata; Lepidosauria; Squamata; Lacertidae
Gene: CBR4
Gene name: carbonyl reductase 4
Exons: 11
Source: RefSeq, a predicted model, not a curated record
GCCCAUGGGGAAGCGUUUUUCUAUAUAUUAUUGUUAUAAUUUAUUAAAUUUAUAUAAUGUGGAUAUAUAUGACUGUUAGCUGCAGCUUGCAAUUGCUGUCCAAGGCACAGCUGCCAGAGGAAGGCGGGGAACUGUGGCAACUUUGGGGUGUGAGGAGAAGUGCUUGGCACAAAGCCAUGUCUUUUGGGGCGUCUAUUUCACAUCUUGUGUGAAGCUGCUGGGAAAAGACUUGGUUCGUGGCUCUUAUUUCCCAUCGACUUCAGUGGGGCUUAAGUGGGCCUCGCAUUUCCUCCUCAAAAUUGCAAUUAUUUGCUGCGGGAGAAGGUCUUCUUACUCGAGACUGAGCCCCCCUUGAAAAGUCGAGAACUUAAAACUCCGAGGAAAGGUGCAGUCUUCCACAGGUCUGCUCAGAAGUACCGGUAAAUCUCAUUGUGUUUAAUGGGGAUUCAUUCCACAGAAGUACAUAGGAUGGUAGCUCAGCAACUCUCCCAUACAAUCUCUGCUCCUCGCCAUUGGGAAAGAAAUGCUGUUAUUAAUGCUUACCUGGGUUGAAGGGAAAGGGCAGUUUCCACAUUUUGCAAUAAGCAGCAAAACAGUGAUUUUAAAGUAGGUUUUAACCGUGGCACCUGCUUCAGUGGAGACUUUCACUGUUUAUUACUUUUUCUCCCUUUAAAUACAUUAAGUUUGGUUUAAUUUAUUUUCAUAUUAACUAGGGCUUGUUACCUGCUUGGCAAAAAUAAAGCCAUUGAUUUAAAUUUUUCUUCUUAAGUUUUUGACAGUGGUUAGAACCUGAAUAUUUGCGAAAGCAAUAGCUAUAUAUGUUUAGAUAGACACACCUCCCUCUGCCCUUUUUACAAUUAUGCUGCUCUGUGUAGUGGCACCAAAGAAUGUUUAUGUAGUCCAUAAAACUUUACACUGCUUGAUUGUAAUAAAAAAAGCACAAAGAUAAAACAAGAAAAUUUUAAAAAAUCACAGUAGUAUUUUAAAAUAUACAAAAGUUAAAAUACUAAACAGAUUAUGUAGCUAGUGGUGAUUUAGUAGACAUUCCACAUGGAUUUGUAUAACUUCGAUUUAGCACCCACCUUCCCAGCCUCAAACUGUUGUCUGAUCUUUAUGCUAACCCUUUUUUAUUUCUUUAGACAAUUUUUCAUGUGACUGAUAUGUUUGGUUUAGAAACUUUGAAAAAUUAAGUGAACAAAGAAGUUACUGCGCAGCUGAAAAUCAGAUUUUACUCUAGCACAAAACACAGGCAUAGUUGGGUGUUUAAAUAUUCUCAUUGAUUUUCCAUUUCCUAUUUGUACAGGCACUUCACAAAAGAAAUGCAAAAGGCUAAGAGUAUGCAGCAAUGCCAUAGAACUAGACCGUAUCAUACACGUCUCAGGCAGCAUUUAUCACUUCAAAGCAAUUGUACUUCAUAUCCAUUUCAGGACUAGUGUAUGAGUUGCGGUUACACUAUGUUUACACUAAGGGAGGCUAUGUCAAUAUGGUUAUAAAGUAGUUUCCUUUAAGUGGCUUGCUGAUUUGAACUUCAAGCACUUUAAGAGUAUGAGAGGAGUGCAGGGCAGUGUUAACCACACACCUGGCACUAGUUUUGUAAUUAUGUAAUCAAAAACGUUUUUGAGUGACACAGGCAGGUGGGCAUGAAUGGAAUGAUUUGCUUCUGUGGUAAAGCUUGUCUGUCUUGUUAGCCUCUUAUGCUUCCUUUAAUACGUUGCUUGUACAUAGGUGCACUGCGUGUGUGUGUGUGUGUGUAUAGAUAGAUAGAAUAUCUAUCAUCUAUCUAUCUGCUAUAUACAUAAUGAUCCUUAGGUCUGUCUGACAGAUGUGUCAGAAUCAUUGAAGUAUUUCCAGAACACCCAGAAAUCUGAAAUUGGGAAAAGAUGCACACCAACGCUUCUUAAAUACUAAUAAGGUCUGAAAACAGGGUACUUUAAUUUAUCGCUAUCAAAAUAGAAUAUGAAGUGUGAUGGCAACACAUUGCAAGCCAGGGUGCAAAUGAAGCAGUAUGUUGGGCCAGACUUAGGUAAGGUAAUAAUGGGGUCAAGUCACAUUUCUGUGGGAGUUCACCAGUCCCUGUUUUAAUACUUGGAAGAAAAGGGUGACGUCGCUGGCAGCUGAUAGUGCAAGAGUAAUAGCCAAUUUGCCUUCCAGAAGAUACAGACUCCAACAGGCUUUGGAAUGUACAGCCCUCCAGAUGUUAGACUGCAACUCAAUGAUGUCAAGGGUCUGUGCCAUUUUUGGAGGAUCUCGGGGAAUUGGCCAUGCUGUUGCACAACUGCUAGCACAGAAAGGAUAUUGCCUGGCCAUUAUUGCCAGAAAUCUGGAUAGAGCUCAAACUACUGCAAAGAACUUGGGAGCAGGUCAUCUAGCAUUUAGAUGCGAUGUUUCCAAAGAAGAAGACAUCCAAAAUGUGUUUAAAGAAAUGGAGACAAGUUUAGGUCAAAUAAACUAUCUGGUUAAUGCUGCAGGUAUCAACAGGGAUGGCUUGUUGUUGAGAACCAAGGCUGAUGAUAUGUUAUCCCAGCUUCAAACCAAUCUUUUGGGGACAAUGUUGACAUGCAAAGCUGCUGUGAAGGGUAUGAUUCAGCAGCAAGGUGGAGCUAUUGUUAACGUAGGAAGUAUCGUUGGGCUGAAGGGCAAUUCUGGUCAGAGCGUAUACAGUGCCAGCAAAGCAGGAUUAGUUGGAUUUUCACGCUCUCUUGCUAAAGAAAUAGCAAGAAAGAACAUUCGAGUCAACAUGGUUGCUCCAGGCUUUAUUCACACGGAUAUGACAACACAUUUGAAAGAAGAGCAGUUGAAGAAAACUAUUCCCCUUGGACGAUUUGGGGAGCCUCAAGAAGUUGCCGAAGCUGUUGCAUUUCUUCUGGAGUCUCCGUAUGUAACAGGCCAAGUUCUAGUUAUUGAUGGAGAUUUGUUCUUUCUGCAUAGAAAGCGUAAUGCAGCUUGCCUUCCAAAAGUUGGUCUAUUUUUAGUUCAUUCUGAUCAGCCCAGUAAUCAAAGGUGGAAGCAAGUUUACUUUCAUGUUUAGAAAAAUGACAUAUUCACUGACAUCUGGGGUGUGAGCAUACAAACAGAUCUCUUUUUCACCUCCUGAGUUUUCUUCUACUUCGCCAUCCCACAUGUUUUCCUCUGUUUGUAUGUCACAGGCUUUUCUGCAUUUGUUAAACCAUCAUGCUCUCAAUCUAAUAGUGUGCUGAAGUAUUUGUUUUUAUAGCAACAGCUUUUUAAAAAGGCAAGCAAGGCUGUUAUUUUAUAUUUGAGGCAUGAGUUACCUCUGCUGUGAUCAUGAAUGUAUUGAGCGAAUACAUCUGUUUUCUUCUACUGUUUGACAAGCAAAAUGUUCCUAUAAAUUAUUGGUUAGCACUUAUGACACACCAGUAAUAAAAUUAACCACAAGGAGAAAUCAUCGUAAGGAGAAAACAUUCCAAUCCCUCUGAAGUUACUCUGCUGUCAAAAGCUAUCUCAGUUUUGCUUACAAAACCAUAUUCAAGCCUGAAGGAAGCACGAUUCCUCUCAUUUCACCUACAUGGAGCAGGUAGGAUGCAUUUCCUUUUUUUACUUACUCCCAGGGCUGUUGUGGGUGAAUCAGUAUAAAGUUUAUCAGUUCUUUUAAGCAACUAAUUUUAAACUUGAAUGCUGUUUUCUCCUAAACAACUUGCUUCUCUAGAGAUGCAAACUGAUGGUAGAAGAAAUAUGCGAGGUUUGCUCAUUUAGAACUUGAGAACAAGUUCUAGCUUGUUCUUAAUAUUCAGCUACUUUAUGUUGUUUAGGCUGAUGUGUCAAGAUACCUAAUCUUUGAAUUGGGUCUAAUUGUGCUGCUUCAUCCUAAACUUGAGCUGUAGUAGUUAGUACUUCAGCCUGUGAGUUGUAUCCAGUAGUAGUUAUGUGCUAGUGGAAGAACUUCCUUAAGGCAGGGCCCCUAAAGUUUGCUGAUCCCUCCUAUCCAAAUCAGUGCAGCACCCUGUGCCUCCCUCCAAACGUCUCUGGAGCAACAUGGAACAUGUCAGAGAGCUGUAAGUGAGAGAGGUGAAAUGGAGUGCCUCAUCCUGUACUAGUAGAAGUACUUUCUCUUGCACAAAGCCACUAUUGGGGGCGAUUAGAGCAGGUCCAAUAGAGGCAUCCAAAGCCCUGCUUGUUUCAUUUGUACUAUAUUAGUUUCAAUUAUUGCAGCCUAAGGAUGUGGUCAAACCUGCUUGAAGAAGUGUAGCUAUCUUUGCUGGCUAUACUCUGGGCCUCAGAGGGUUAAGCUGGCCAGGGACUGGCUUCCUUUUUGUUUGAAUUUAUAACUUUAUUCUAACAAGACUCCCACUCUGGUCCUGAGACAGGCUCUGCAUGUGGGUGAAAUGAAGACUGAAGGGUUUUUCACUGUAUUUUUCAGUGGUGACAUAGUGUCUGCCCUGUUGGAUCUCAUGCAUUGUUUGGGGUUUCCUCUCCUUUCGUAGGCCCCAGAACCAAGCAAGCCCCUUUCCUCCCAGCAUUCUACAUGUUAGAGGCAGAUGAUCACAAACACAUCUUUCAGUUGCACAGAUCUUGGUGAACUUGGCAACAGGAUAUGGGAUUCACUCCAGGCAGUUCAGACACUAGAUGCUUUCCCAACUGCAUGCAGCCAAUCCUGACUCCACAAAGAUCUGAGGGUGCGGCACACCUGAAACCCGGCAUUCCAGUCGCACAGGAUACCCCUCAGCUACACCUGUGUUUUGUAGCUUCUCUACAAAUACUGGUGGCUUGUGUGCUUCCUUAGCUAUAAAAAAAGAAAUAACUUUUCUCUCUACCCUCAUUUGAACCAAUAAAAUAUCCCAUACAUA